Molecule: ribosomal RNA, 324 nt
Filed under: Triticum aestivum (bread wheat)
Lineage: Eukaryota; Viridiplantae; Streptophyta; Magnoliopsida; Poales; Poaceae
Description: partial small subunit ribosomal RNA
Source: RNAcentral
AUGAAAAUGCAUAUUCUCGGACAUAACCCCGCCGUUUGGGCUAUUAUUUGUAUUGGCUUGCAAGGUGAAUUCUUUGAUGGGAGAGAGCCGAACUGUGAAGCUAAUGCGGAUGAAUUGAAGAUGCUGCAAUACAACACUCAAGCUUGUGAUAUCAUCUUUAACGGAUUGUGCCCCGAAGAAUUCAACAAAAUCAGCCGUCUUAAGAAUGCAAAGGAAAUUUGGGAUACUUUGAUUGAUAUGCAUGAAGGUACUGACUCUGUCAAGGAAUCCAAGCUGGAUGUGCUCCAAAGUCAGCUUGACAAGUUGAAGAUGAAGGAUGGUUAA